Etheostoma spectabile (orangethroat darter) is the source of this 259-nucleotide long non-coding RNA. RefSeq lists it as uncharacterized. The record is from RefSeq and is a predicted model, not a curated record. NCBI's taxonomy places the organism in Eukaryota, Metazoa, Chordata, Actinopteri, Perciformes, Percidae. The transcript is spliced from 3 exons.
ACUCUCUUUCUCGCUCUCUCUCUCUCUCACUCUGCCUUCUCUCUCUCUCUGAAAUUCUUCUACUUUUUCUGUCAGGCCGGCCAGUUCAUUCUUCAGAUGGUCUCUUUCUUGUUGAGCACUUUUUAGCCCUAUUUCCAAUUGUGUAAACUGUUCUUUAAGGAGGGUCUUUGUGUUUUGCAUCUGAGCUUGAGCCGAACUGGUAGGGUAAUUUUUUCUUUCUGGAGCUUCAGAUGUGGUGCCGCUUGAGGGAGUGCUGUCA